GAUGAACGCUGGCGGCGUGCCUAAUACAUGCAAGUCGAGCGAACGGACGAGAAGCUUGCUUCUCUGAUGUUAGCGGCGGACGGGUGAGUAACACGUGGAUAACCUACCUAUAAGACUGGGAUAACUUCGGGACACCGGAGCUAAUACCGGAUAAUAUUUUGAACCGCAUGGUUCAAAAGUGAAAGACGGUCUUGCUGUCACUUAUAGAUGGAUCCGCGCUGCAUUAGCUAGUUGGUAAGGUAACGGCUUACCAAGGAAACGAUGCGUAGCCGACCUGAGAGGGUGAUCGGCCACACUGGAACUGAGACACGGUCCAGACUCCUACGGGAGGCAGCAGUAGGGAAUCUUCCGCAAUGGGCGAAAGCCUGACGGAGCAACGCCGCGUGAGUGAUGAAGGUCUUCGGAUCGUAAAACUCUGUUAUUAGGGAAGAACAUAUGUGUAAGUAACUGUGCACAUCUUGACGGUACCUAAUCAGAAAGCCACGGCUAACUACGUG
RNAcentral lists this ribosomal RNA (497 nucleotides) under uncultured bacterium. RNAcentral's name for it is "partial 16S ribosomal RNA". It matches the Rfam family "Bacterial small subunit ribosomal RNA", at positions 28 to 507 of the family's 1533-position model. The record is from RNAcentral.